GAUGGGGCAGAAAGUCGGUUCUGCGUGUGGCUUGAAACCACAAGGUGGGGGUUCAAUUCCUCCCUUCCUUG
Molecule: transfer RNA, 71 nt
Filed under: Kinyongia fischeri (Fischer's chameleon)
Lineage: Eukaryota; Metazoa; Chordata; Lepidosauria; Squamata; Chamaeleonidae
Description: tRNA-Ser
Rfam family: tRNA
About the family: Transfer RNA (tRNA) molecules are approximately 80 nucleotides in length. Their secondary structure includes four short double-helical elements and three loops (D, anti-codon, and T loops). Further hydrogen bonds mediate the characteristic L-shaped molecular structure. tRNAs have two regions of fundamental functional importance: the anti-codon, which is responsible for specific mRNA codon recognition, and the 3' end, to which the tRNAs corresponding amino acid is attached (by aminoacyl-tRNA synthetases). tRNAs cope with the degeneracy of the genetic code in two manners: having more than one tRNA (with a specific anti-codon) for a particular amino acid; and 'wobble' base-pairing, i.e. permitting non-standard base-pairing at the 3rd anti-codon position.
Source: RNAcentral